RNAcentral lists this long non-coding RNA (209 nucleotides) under Homo sapiens (human). RNAcentral describes it as "HSALNT0334117". The record is from RNAcentral. Lineage: Eukaryota; Metazoa; Chordata; Mammalia; Primates; Hominidae.
UCCUAUCACUACUUUCCUUACUGCCAGAAAAAAUUUGACCAUAGAGCUGCAGGCUUGCCACUGUGAUGCUGAUGUGAAACAGCCUAGUCUGAACUUCUUUGACAGCACAGACAACUCCACUGAUCGAACAAGAGAUUGGGAAGGCCACUCAUACUCCGGCGGUAUCUGGAGGACCUCCGGGAAGACGGCAAGGACAGCACUUCCGAAAU